CAUGCAUAGGUAACUGCACACAGUAUAUGCUGAAGUAGAGAAAAAGAGGCUUAGUGAGCUGAUGAAGUGUCUGUUAUUUAUUUUUUUACUCACUUUAUCUAACAUGCAAGCAAAUGUAGUCCAUUACAGAUCAUCAAAGAUCAGUACCUUCCUAUGAGGCUUCGACAGAGCAAAGUGAACAAAAGACAAAACUGACAGGAAAAUGAGAGAAGUGUAUUACAGACAACAGAGGAGAGCCGAAUUGGUGUGUGGGAUGAAUAAUACAUUUGUCUCAAUCCUUCCAAUCCUCUCCUCUCCUGGCAAUACAAAUAGGUUUGAUAAUUCGGUGUGGAAACAGCUGCCACAGCCUAAUGCAAGUUCUGUCGAGGCAGCAUACUGCGGUGCAUUUAUAAA
Long non-coding RNA from Maylandia zebra (zebra mbuna), 393 nucleotides. RefSeq lists it as uncharacterized. The record is from RefSeq and is a predicted model, not a curated record. NCBI's taxonomy places the organism in Eukaryota, Metazoa, Chordata, Actinopteri, Cichliformes, Cichlidae.